RNAcentral lists this transfer RNA (71 nucleotides) under Bos taurus (domestic cattle). It matches the Rfam family "tRNA". From Rfam's summary of the family: Transfer RNA (tRNA) molecules are approximately 80 nucleotides in length. Their secondary structure includes four short double-helical elements and three loops (D, anti-codon, and T loops). The record is from Rfam by way of RNAcentral. Lineage: Eukaryota; Metazoa; Chordata; Mammalia; Artiodactyla; Bovidae. RNAcentral also lists the same sequence under 1 other name.
CUUGUAAUAGCUCAAUGGUAAAGAGUCUGUCUGCCAAGCAGGAGACACAGGUUUGAUCCCUGUGUGGGAGG